This is a long non-coding RNA of Bombus terrestris (buff-tailed bumblebee), 4494 nucleotides long. RefSeq lists it as uncharacterized. The record is from RefSeq and is a predicted model, not a curated record. The transcript has 7 exons. NCBI's taxonomy places the organism in Eukaryota, Metazoa, Arthropoda, Insecta, Hymenoptera, Apidae.
UCACUGAAUGGUCCGCCAACCGACGGGCAAUGUGCGUUCUCCCCUGUGCCUGCCUUCCACCGCUUGUUUUAUCAAACCAUUCACCGGCUCACCAAAUCCUUAUUGCCUUGCCUUGGCGCACGAUUUGAAUCGCGCGGCUGAUGACACAACCUCUCUGUAACAGUGCUUUUCAACCUUUACUUACUGAUCGAAUUACACACAUGUCCGAGAUAUGAACCAUUUGAUACGGAAUUGUCGGUAAACGGAAAUUGAAAUCUACCGCGGAAAUGUAGUAACGUAAAAUGAGACUCUUCAUAUAGAAUAAAAAAUACGUUCGACGAUAAAUUUGACAAAAAGAAUAUAUAUACACUUUUAAAGCGAGAGACACUGCGAGGAUGGGGAAUUAUUUAAGAUAUAAAAUAAUAUUAAAUAGUGUUAAAAACUUUUAUUCUUUUAUGGAAUAAGAUUUUAUUUUUUGAUGAUUAUAUUUUGAAUAACUACGUGAGUCAUGAGACGCGAUGGAAAGCCUGUUUAAUAAUAUAAUAAAAGUAAUCUAGGGAUUUAGGAAACACAUUAAGGAACGCAAAAAUUAAUUUCCAAUAUAAUUAAUUUAUAAUUCUUUAUUCAUUUAUAAAGUAAAACGAAUAUACAUUUCUUUAUAAAUUUUGGUAUGACUUUCGUGGUGGCAGUUGAGAAUCGCGGGCACGGGUGAUGAAGCGUCUACGACGUUGAUUGGUCGAGAGGCUCCCUUCCGGUUUAGACUACCAUAACGAAAUAUUCAAGAUCGUAGAACAUUUUUAAACAAUUCGAACUUUUGUUUUCGUCGUGAAGCCUCGAUACCUCUCGGAAAGAGGAACAACGUUUGGAAAAUAUGUCUUGAGAACAGAACGAGGGUUCCGAGCGCCCUUGAAUUAGUCUAGCAUUGGCCGUAAUCGCGAUAGCAUGCGUAAAAUCGGUACGAUUUUAUACGCGUAUAAUUUUAUAAAGUGAAAUAGUGAGUAUUAUUUAAUCAAACGGGAUCUCCUGCGAUGUCCGGUACUUCCGGUGGAAUAUGAGAAGUCAAGGCCGUGACAGGGAUCGUUCGAGUUACCUCUUGGUGGAACGUUUCGUGAAAUACCUCAACCAUCUAACAGAAUAUCACUGCACGAAUUUCUCAAUUACAAUUGACCGAAGUUCAGAAACCGGGGGAUAACACACCUAGCUACACUGUUUCACCAUCGAAAUUAAUUUACGGGACGACGCCUGUAAGCGGAGGAUGCAAGAAGAAUGGUUAUUAAACUGCCAGAGUUUUGAGGUGCAUCAGUUCAUAAAUAUUAGGACGCUUACGGAAGCUUAAGGAAAGUUAAGGAAAGCUAUUAAGAAAUUAUCUAAUCUCCCGAGAAUUGGAGAUUAGAGAAGAAGAACGACGAGGUAAGACGAAACUGAGGGAGAAUGAAAUUGUAUUGGAGGCUCGGUCAUUGAGAAAAUCGAGUUUGAAAAUUUGUCAAGUGCACGAGAACUUGGUUGAUUCUCGACUAGGCCGAAAUGGAUCAUGAACAGAAGCUCGUUCUAUUCUCGAAAAUAAAUCAAGAACGUAGAACAAGUUUGAAUAACUUACAGCGAGUUAAAAUAAUCUUAGAAUAAUAAACUGAAAUUAUAGAAAUGCAUUCUGAAACCAAUAUCGAUCUAUAAAAUCUGUGAAAUCCAAUUCGGCAGAUUGGCUGCUCCAUUUAAAUCCCGUGUUUCUAAUCAUCUCGAUAGAAGUAUAAAUUCGCAUAAAUAUCUGCAGCGAAAUAAUUAUACGCGGUCCUAAUCCCGUCGUAGAAUCGAUAUAUUCGAAGCAAUCAGCUGAAAUCAUUCGAAACGACCAAGCUUCUGGUCUCGGCAACUUGCGAACGAAAGACAAAUUUUGAAGUAUCAGGCUUCGCGUAUGGUUGCCCAUCUGCCAUCCUUAUUGUUGGAAAGUUGCACGGCCAACAUCCAGCGCAUGUAACGAAGUUUCGGGUACAAGUGUACUACGGUUGCCAGAACAAAUAUUCGGUACAUGGCAGGUGCUGCGUUGUUUCGCAGCCAGAGACCAGGUCCCGUUAAAGAGCUUGUGGACAACAUCGGCCACGCUCUGGUUCCCGAGCUGCCCGCUCCAUUUCAGAUAGUUAGGAUUAUAUCCUGUAUUUAUUGCGCCGGUUCCAGUUGGACCGUAGUUGUUCCAAGUUAGCCAGCACAUCUUCCCUUUAAAUCGUAUAUUUGGAAAGCGGCUUAAUAAUCCUGCUGCCGCUUGUACUCGAUUCGAUACCCAACUGUUUGCUUAACUGCGCCAGAUUCUAAAACUUGCCAACGUUCUACCGAAAGAUCACAGACAGACAGACAGACAGAGGUAGGUUUUAUAGCGAACAAUCGGUGAAUUUUAAAUUGCGAGAUGUAAGAUCUUCUUUCUAAAUUAUCUUCGUUCCUUGUCAUCUGUUAGGACUAACAACAAGCGGAUAUUUUAUUUCGUCCUUAGGCUCAUAACACGUUUCAUUCGUUUUAGCGUAUUAGAAUCCAUUAAAUAAGCUCGUAGGUAAAUGUUGCGCGAGUUUCUCAAGGAAUAUUUUUCCUGAUGAUGAUGAGCUAAUCUAUGGUAUACUAGCCAGUGCAACCAAUAAUUUCUUUUUCCUUUAUGGUUGUUGUUCGAAGAUUCUACCUUGUUUCAUUGGCAUUUCACCUGGCUCUAUGACUAGACGUCAAAUUUUUCAUUGAGAUCUGUCCAAAGUUUCGAUGUUUGCCGGCGAAUUUAAGGAGUUAGAGCUAUGGGAGUUGCGAAUGAGAGAGGCGAAAGCAUGUACUCGUGUCUAACUGUAACUAACUGUGACUCGCAAUGAUCAGAGUCGAAGACCAGAGUUCCGUUUAUUUUCGAAUUAUUCUCGUGGCCAACAGAAGUUUCAUUCGCUUCGAAUUUGUUCGAGAGAUCAAAGUGCUCCAAGUUUCCUCUUGCAAAUGGCUAUUCUCUAGCUGGCUAGCCGUUCUAACGUAGAGAGAAAGAGAGAGAGGGAGAGAAAGAGAGAGAAGGAGAGAAAGCGAGAGAGAGAGAGAGAGAGAUUGACCAUGUUCAAGUUCGAGGUUCGUCGCGGCUCGUCGCGGCACGCAGUUAAUUAGCAAUUAUUCCGGGGCCGUGGCCUGGCGUCGCUAAUCGAGUUCCCAACUACGCGACUCGAUUCGACGCACUUAAACGUAGCGACGAUCUAUUCACCGGUUAUCGAGCCGAUCGGAAACCACUGUGGCUGACAGCCCGUUGUGCUGCCUUAGCUCUUUAGCUGGUAUCACUUUGUCGCAAAUGGCACGAACGCUGACACGUCGAUAGCCGGCCUAUCGUUUCGUCUUGUCACGAAACACAGUUACAGAGCAGAAUUCAGUCAACGUGAUAUAGCAGCAAUUUCGUGAUAAAAUACGAGCAUGUAUAUGUCAAAAAUAUCGUAUUCGUGUUCAGACUGGCUGAAAGACUAACGUGGACGAGAACGAAUGAAUUCUACGCUACAGUAGAAUUCGUCCUUAUUGGUACGAAAUUUUAGUUAAUGCCUGAUUAACUGAAUGCUGCUGAACGAUUCUGCCAAUCUAAAAAAAUACCAAGACAGAAAAACUGCAAUUACAUGAACUGCAGUCACGUAAACUGGGUUUUCCACCAACAAGUUCCAAAUUUAUUUUGUGGAAAAGACAUCGUUCCCGCUAGGAGCAUGUUCGGACAUAGUAAGAGUCUUCACAGGCUCGCCAUAAAAGUUGGACAUGUCGCGAAACAAACCAGGCGGUUACGGAGCAAAGUUCAGUUCAGAAUUUCACGAUUCGAAGACUUAAACGCGAUGAAAGAAGAAGAAGAAGCAACGAAUGAAUAAUAGACUGGCGAGCGUAUUUUUCAAAUUUAUUUUCUCAAAAGCACAGACCAUUGCCGCCAAAAACCGACUUGAACUUGGAAAAAGCGUUUUCGGCCUCGUCAUAGAAAUUGUGAAAUAUCCAUUUCCUCGCAUAGAUCGAAAAGAAAAUUUUUGAAAAAGAAAACGCUGUCAGAGGUUUAGAUAGAGUCGCACGACUCGGGUACGGGCAGAAACAGGGUUUAAUUAAACGCGACACGAGGAAGAGGUUUUAUUACGAAUUACCUGUGCACGCGUCGGUUCAUUGAUAGGGUAAGUGGACAGUCUCGUUUACGAUGGGGCUGGGUUUAUCCUCGGUGGCAGGAAGAUUACGAGCCGUCGUUUUAUUCGACUUUUCCAAGGGAUGGGUUCAUUGUCCCAGUCGCAUUCCGAUUUCGUCUCCUCGAACGACGACCUCGAAUGGUCUGCGAGGAUGGAACGUACGAGCAAAACAGAAAACGCGAUUACCCUCGGCGAAUGAACGCCGCAGCUGCCACAUAUUUGCCUCUUUCAACGUUUCCAACUUUUAUUUCCCCAAUUUCAUGCGAUAUCGUGCUGAAACGAAAAUUGCGCCACUAUUCUCUGUUCGCGGAACGAGUCUUUUUAUCGAGUGUCCAUAGAAAAAGAGGGGUCGAGUUUUAAAAACUGUUAAACUCGC